Molecule: ribosomal RNA, 468 nt
Filed under: uncultured bacterium
Lineage: Bacteria
Description: partial 16S ribosomal RNA
Rfam family: Bacterial small subunit ribosomal RNA
Source: RNAcentral
GACGAACGCUGGCGGCGUGCUUAACACAUGCAAGUCGAACGGAAAGGCCCUGCUUUUGUGGGGUGCUCGAGUGGCGAACGGGUGAGUAACACGUGAGUAACCUGCCCUUGACUUUGGGAUAACUUCAGGAAACUGGGGCUCAUACCGGCUAGGAGCUCCUGCUGCAUGGUGGGGGUUGGAAAGUUUCGGCGGUUUGGGCUGGACUCGCGGCUUAUCAGCUUGUUGGUGUGGUAGUGGCUUACCAAGGGUUUGACGGGUAGCCGGCCUGAGAGGGUGACCGGCCACAUGGGGACUGAGGUACGGCCCAGACGCCUACGGGAGGCAGCAGUGGGGAAUUUUGCACAAUGGGCGGGAGCCAGAUGCAGCAACGCCGCGUGCGGGAUGACGGCCUUCGGGUUGUAAACCGCUUUCGCCUGUGACGAAGCGUGAGUGACGGUAAUGGGUAAAGAAGCACCGGCUAACUACGUG